GUCAGCUGUAGCUGGAUGUGUGUCUUGAAAGGCUGACAAGUUUGCCCUGAGUGACUCACCUGUCACCUGAUCCAACAAGAUUUGUGGGCGUAGCCUGCCGAUGGGUGACGCCACUUAAAGGAAAUCACUAAAUUUCUUGAGCAGAGAAGUGCCUCGGUGAUGAACAGUACAAGAGACUAGUUUUGG
RNAcentral lists this small RNA (186 nucleotides) under Pongo abelii (Sumatran orangutan). Its description in RNAcentral is "processed transcript". The record is from RNAcentral. Lineage: Eukaryota; Metazoa; Chordata; Mammalia; Primates; Hominidae.